Ktedonobacter racemifer DSM 44963 is the source of this 92-nucleotide non-coding RNA. Lineage: Bacteria; Bacillati; Chloroflexota; Ktedonobacteria; Ktedonobacterales; Ktedonobacteraceae. The record is from Rfam.
GAGAGCCGUGUGCAUCGAAAGGUGCAAGCACUGGUUCGGGAAGGGGCGGAUGAAAACGUACCGCAAGGCAACGCGUCAGCCGCCUACUUCAC